UUUUUUUUAUGAGGAGGGGGGAUCCAGGUCUCUGUAGGUACACUGCGGAGUAUCAUCACCACACUAAAAACUUUACACGUGCCCUGUCUACACCUAUAGUGGGGUGUUUUUAUUGGGCGGCGGGUGCGGGCUUUAAUUGUGGGCGGGUUGCUGUGAGAGAGCCCUCUCAAAAAAAAAAGGCGAACGUUUGGGCUUCGGCCUGAUUUAGUAGUCUUUUUUUCUUUUAAACCCAUUCCUUAAUACUGAAUAUACUGUGGGGACGAAAGUCUCUGCUUUUAACUAGAUAGCAACUUUCAGCAGUGGAUGUCUAGGCUCGCACAUCGAUGAAGAACGCUGCGAAGUGCGAUACGUAAUGCGAAUUGCAGGAUUCAGUGAGUCAUCGAAAUUUUGAACGCAUAUUGCACUUCCGGGUUAGUCCUGGAAGUAUGCCUGUAUCAGUGUCCGUACAUUAAACUUGACUUUCUUCCUUCCGUGUAGUCGGUGGAGGAGAUGUCAGAUGUGAAGUGUCUUGCGAUUGGUCUUCGGACCGGCUGCGAGUCCUUUUAAAUGUACUAAACUGAACUUCUCUUUGCUCGAAAAGUGGUGGCGUUGCUGGUUGUGAAGGCUGCUAUUGUGGCAAAUUGGCGACUGGUUUGUCUGCUGCGGCGUUAAUGGAAGAGUGUUCGAUUCGUGGUAUGGUUGGCUUCGGCUGAACAAUGCACUUAUUGGACGUUUUUCCUGCUGUGGCGUGAUGGACUGGUGAACCAUAGCUCGGUGGCUUGGCUUUUGAAUUGGCUUUGCUGUUGCGAAGUAGGGUGGCAGCUUCGGUUGUCGAGGGUCGAUCCAUUUGGGAACUUAAUGUGUACUUCGGUAUGCAUCUCAAUUGGACCUGAUAUCAGUCAAGAUAGCUCGUAG
Molecule: ribosomal RNA, 894 nt
Rfam family: 5.8S ribosomal RNA (bases 289-443)